Molecule: ribosomal RNA, 253 nt
Filed under: uncultured bacterium
Lineage: Bacteria
Description: partial 16S ribosomal RNA
Rfam family: Bacterial small subunit ribosomal RNA
Source: RNAcentral
UACGGAGGAUGCAAGCGUUAUCCGGAAUGAUUGGUCGUACAGCGUCCGCAGGUGGCUAUGUAAGUCUGCUGUUAAAGAGUGAGGCUCAACCUCAUAAAGGCAGUGGAAACUACAUGGCUAGAGUGCGUUCGGGGCAGAGGGAAUUCCUGGUGUAGCGGUGAAAUGCGUAGAGAUCAGGAAGAACACCGGUGGCGAAAGCGCUCUGCUAGGCCGCAACUGACACUGAGGGACGAAAGCUAGGGGAGCGAAUGGG